This 104-nucleotide unclassified non-coding RNA is filed under the name soil metagenome. Its description in RNAcentral is "partial internal transcribed spacer 1". The record is from RNAcentral.
GUGAACGCCCUCACGGGCUUAUACUAUUCCAAACCUCUGUGAACCGUGCCCUUCGGGGCUAUUUACAAACAUGGUGUAAUGACGUCAUAUAUCAUAACAAAACA